CCUACGGGAGGCAGCAGUGGGGAAUAUUGCACAAUGGGGGAAACCCUGAUGCAGCAACGCCGCGUGAGUGAUGAAGGCCUUCGGAUUGUAAAGCUCUGUCUUCAGGGACGAUAAUGACGGUACCUGAGGAGGAAGCCACGGCUAACUACGUGCCAGCAGCCGCGGUAAUACGUAGGUGGCGAGCGUUGUCCGGAUUUACUGGGCGUAAAGGGUGCGUAGGCGGACUUUUAAGUGAGAUGUGAAAUACCCGGGCUCAACUUGAGUGCUGCAUUUCAAACUGGAAGUCUAGAGUGCAGGAGAGGAGAAUGGAAUUCCUAGUGUAGCGGUGAAAUGCGUAGAGAUUAGGAGGAACACCAGUGGCGAAGGCGAUUCUCUGGACUGUAACUGACGUUGAGGCUCGAAAGCGUGGGGAGCAAACAGGAUUAGAUACCCGAGUAGUC
RNAcentral lists this ribosomal RNA (440 nucleotides) under uncultured bacterium. RNAcentral's name for it is "partial 16S ribosomal RNA". It matches the Rfam family "Bacterial small subunit ribosomal RNA", at positions 338 to 795 of the family's 1533-position model. The record is from RNAcentral.